CUUGAAUACGUAAUUAGAUUGCAUUUGAGCCGGGGCACAGCAGGAAAGUUCCCGCUGAAAAUAUGGAGCAGCCCGACUGGGGCAGUACCUCGACCUUACAGGAUACCACAGCUAAAUAAAACUCCUUUAAACAGUUUUGUGUACCAGUUGGUGAGUAAGGUAAACAGACCUCCUGGUUGCGUUUCCCAUGCUUCUGGCGUUGCCGACGUCUAUAUACUACGGCAAUUCCUUACCAACAGGUGAGCUAUACGCUUAUUUGACGACUUAGUUAUAAUGAAAAAAUAAUUAUAGAAAAAACAAUUUCGAAUCAAUUUUGCUUUUACUGAAAACGGUAAAAGUGAAUUUAUGUGAUGUGUAUCACUGGAACCUUUUGGCUUUCAUUAAAAAAAAAAUCCUCGAUAUGAAUCCCGAAUAUAAAUAAGUUAUUAGAAUUUUUUUUUGUUUACAUAAUAUGUACACAAAUGAUUACUAUGUAUCCAUAUUUAUUAUUUAAUAUAAAUUU
RNAcentral lists this unclassified non-coding RNA (502 nucleotides) under Melitaea cinxia (Glanville fritillary). Its description in RNAcentral is "misc RNA ENSMCXG00005021357.1". Lineage: Eukaryota; Metazoa; Arthropoda; Insecta; Lepidoptera; Nymphalidae. The record is from RNAcentral.